AGAACGAACGCUGGCGGCAGGCCUCAAACAUGCAAGUCUAGGGGGCGUAGCAAUACGUCACCGGCGGACGGGUGCGUAACACGUGGGAAUGUACUUACUGGUUCGGAACAACUCAGGGAAACUUGAGCUAAUACCGAAUGUGCCCGAAAGGGGAAAGAUUUAUCGCCAGUAAAUCAGCCCGCGUUCGAUUAGCUAGUUGGCGGGGUAAAGGCCCACCAAGGCGACGAUCGGUAGCUGUUCUGAGAGGAAGAUCAGCCACACUGGGACUGAGACACGGCCCCAGACUCCUACGGGAGGCAGCAGUUGGGAAUCUUGGACAAUGGGGAAACCCUGAUCCAGCCAUGCCGCGUGAGUGAUGAAGGCCUUCGGGUUGUAAAACUCUUUCGACGGGGACGAUAAUGACGGUACCCGUAGAAGAAGCUCCGGCUAACUUCGUGCCAGCAGCCGC
Molecule: ribosomal RNA, 448 nt
Filed under: uncultured bacterium
Lineage: Bacteria
Description: SSU rRNA
Rfam family: Bacterial small subunit ribosomal RNA
Source: RNAcentral